UACGAAGGGGGCUAGCGUUGUUCGGAAUUACUGGGCGUAAAGCGCACGUAGGCGGGUUUGUAAGUAGGGGGUGAAAUCCCAGGGCUCAACCCUGGAACUGCCUUCUAAACUGCAAGCCUGGAGGUCAGGAGAGGCGAGUGGAAUACCGAGUGUAGAGGUGAAAUUCGUAGAUAUUCGGUGGAACACCAGUGGCGAAGGCGACUCGCUGGACUGAUACUGACGCUGAGGUGCGAAAGCGUGGGGAGCAAACAGG
RNAcentral lists this ribosomal RNA (253 nucleotides) under bacterium. RNAcentral's name for it is "partial 16S ribosomal RNA". It matches the Rfam family "Bacterial small subunit ribosomal RNA", at positions 524 to 776 of the family's 1533-position model. RNAcentral also lists the same sequence under 1 other name. The record is from RNAcentral.